This 402-nucleotide ribosomal RNA is filed under the name uncultured eukaryote. RNAcentral describes it as "partial small subunit ribosomal RNA". The record is from RNAcentral.
AGUUAGCGCUGGUUGCCUGGUAGUUCGCCUCAACGACACGCAGCACAUCGUCGGUAACGUUUACGGCAGCAUUCACAUACAGCACACCGUCACCAACGAUCAGGUCGUAGCCUUGCGCCUGGGCAAAUUCCUGUACUUCCUUGAGCAUCGCACGCUGCAGGAGACCAUAUUCCUCGUUUUGACGGAGGUUAAGGUCUUCCUGGAACUCGGUUUGCAGACGCGUCAGUUCACGCUGCAGAUCGCGCAGUUCCUUUUCCAUGUUACGGCGUUCGGUCUCGCCCAUUACGGCCAGAUCUUUCUGCGCCUUGGCAGCCUGAUCUUCGUACUCUUUCUGCUUCGCCUGGAACUCACGCUGGCGUGGCGCAAACUCUUCCUGCAACGCAUCCAUAGCGGCCUUGGUCU